Long non-coding RNA from Platichthys flesus (European flounder), 1058 nucleotides. RefSeq lists it as uncharacterized. The transcript has 4 exons. NCBI's taxonomy places the organism in Eukaryota, Metazoa, Chordata, Actinopteri, Pleuronectiformes, Pleuronectidae. The record is from RefSeq and is a predicted model, not a curated record.
GAAGGUCCAAAGCCCUGAGCGUAUCCAGCAACACCAGCCGACUCCACGUUCAUCCCCCCAGACGGAGCCUGAGGGGCAUUUACACGUUGUCCACACGAUGGGAGGCUCAUGGGCAGACCCUGAAGUCCACCUGGAGCUCUGAAUAACUGAGCACACACGCCGGCCGUCUCUCACGACGGACCUGAACACUGCCUCGGUGUGUUUUCGGAGUGUUACAGGCCUUCAGGAGCGAGGCAGCGCAGUGAGACCGAGGAGCAGAUGAAUAUUUGAUCAGCUCCUCUCCGGCCCUGUGUGCUGUAAUAUUGAUGCGGUCCAGUGGCAUUGAGGCCCUGUCUCUCCGGCUCACAGGCCGCAUGACACCUACUGAUCUGCAGGAAGUUCCUCCUCCAUCAUGAACAGUGAGCAGAGAGGAGGAGAAAGAGGAGGCUCAGCAGGAGAUCUGCUGUACAACAACCCACCGACACCUGAGUGUGUUACUCUACACGUGUGUGUAUCUGUGAGACAGCGCUGCAGCCCCUUCGCACUCAGUUCUCAAUCGCUGCAUGUAGAUCUUGUUGGAUGACGGUUCAUAUCUAUUCCAGGAUGUGGCACUUCCCCCCCACCGUCCCUGUCAGAGAUGUCAAAACGCUGUGUGUGUGCAAGAAGACUCGUCAACUUUUGUAUGUAAACUUCUUUUGUUGGGUUCACACAUAUUCUUAGUAAAAGAACCAAAUAAAAGAACCGGUCCUGACUGAGCUGAGAUGUCUCCACAGAUACAUAAAGUCUUAACAGCCGUGGACGUGGAGACAGACACAAGUACAAUGUAAGAAGUUUGAUUUUCAAGUCGUCUUCUGACAUCUUAGGGCACACAUCUUUCUCAAAGCUCCGUUCAGGCAUAAAAAUUCUGUUAAAUCACAUCAUAAAAGUAAUUUCUACAGAUUUCCAAGUGUUAAAAACGUGUCAAAUUGAUUUUUCGUGAUGUUGGUUCUUGAUCUUUUCUUUUAAUAUGUGUGAAUGAAUUUUUUGCAAUUCCCCCCGAGUGUCCUGUGUCUGUGUCAUCUGUUUCUUAAAGACUUAAG